RNAcentral lists this ribosomal RNA (432 nucleotides) under uncultured bacterium. RNAcentral's name for it is "partial 16S ribosomal RNA". It matches the Rfam family "Bacterial small subunit ribosomal RNA", at positions 29 to 507 of the family's 1533-position model. The record is from RNAcentral.
AACGAACGCUGGCGGCAUGCCUAACACAUGCAAGUCGAACGAGACCUUCGGGUCUAGUGGCGCACGGGUGCGUAACGCGUGGAAACUGGCCUUAGGUUUGGAAUAACCCCCCGGAAGGGGGGGUAAUACCGGGUAAAUGCUUCGGGCCAAAGAUUUAUCGCCUUUGGAUGGGCCCGCGUUGGAUUAGCUAGUUGGUAGGGUAAAAGCCUACCAAGGCGACGAUCCAUAGCUGGUCUGAGAGGAUGAUCAGCCACACUGGGACUGAGACACGGCCCAGACUCCUACGGGAAGCAGCAGUGGGGAAUAUUGGACAAUGGGCGAAAGCCUGAUCCAGCAAUGCCGCGUGAGUGAUGAAGGCCUUAGGGUUGUAAAGCUCUUUUACCCGGGAUGAUAAUGACAGUACCGGGAGAAUAAGCUCCGGCUAACUCCGUG